Molecule: ribosomal RNA, 460 nt
Filed under: uncultured bacterium
Lineage: Bacteria
Description: partial 16S ribosomal RNA
Rfam family: Bacterial small subunit ribosomal RNA
Source: RNAcentral
CCUACGGGAGGCAGCAGUGAGGAAUAUUGGUCAAUGGGCGAGAGCCUGAACCAGCCAAGUCGCGUGAAGGAUGAAGGAUCUAUGGUUUGUAAACUUCUUUUAUAUGGGAAUAAAGUGAGGAACGUGUUCCUUUUUGUAUGUACCAUAUGAAUAAGCAUCGGCUAACUCCGUGCCAGCAGCCGCGGUAAUACGGAGGAUGCGAGCGUUAUCCGGAUUUAUUGGGUUUAAAGGGUGCGUAGGUGGUUAAUUAAGUCAGCGGUGAAAGUUUGUGGCUCAACCAUAAAAUUGCCGUUGAAACUGGGAGAUGGGAGUAUAUUGGAGGAGGGGGGAAUGCGUGGGGUAGCGGGGAAAGGCAUAGAUAUCAGGAAGAACGCCGAUUGCGAAGGCAGCUUACUAACCUAUAACUGACACUGAAGCACGAAAGCGUGGGGAUCAAACAGGAUUAGAUACCCGGGUAGUC